This 1462-nucleotide long non-coding RNA is filed under the name Sus scrofa (pig). RNAcentral describes it as "lncRNA (ENSSSCG00060012092.1)". The record is from RNAcentral. Lineage: Eukaryota; Metazoa; Chordata; Mammalia; Artiodactyla; Suidae.
CUGUGUGGCACAUGGAGGUUCCAGGCUAGGGUCUGAUCGGAGCUACACCUGCCGGCCACAGCCACAGCCACAGCCACACCAGACCGAGUCACGUCUGCAACCCACACCACAGCUCACAGCAACGCUGGAUGCUUAACCCACUCAGCAAGGAAGACCAGGGAUCAAACCCGCAACCUCAUGGUUCGUAGUUGGAUUCGUCAGGAUCUCUGAAAGCUACUUUCAACUGGGGCAAAAGAAACACACACACACACAUAAAAUUAUAUACACAUUCAUACAAAGAAAUAAAACGGAAGUGGCAAAAUGUUGAUAACUAGUGACUCUAGGCGAAGGUAUGUGGGUUAUUCACUAUACUCUUCUCUCACUUUUCCUGUAGGUUGGGAAUUUUCAACACUUGGGGAAAAAAAAAUCAGAUCCAAUAAAAUACAUACUUCUCUCAACCAUGCAUGUCUGUACAGCACAGUAUUCAGUAUUCUGUUCCUUUUUUUUUUUUUAGAACUUACCGUAUUCGAUCCGGCAGGCUAGUUCUGUAAAUACUUGUCCUGUCCAAGGGCUUUGCAGGCAGGGCCUACUUCUCACUCGUCAGCACCAGCAGAGUAACUUACUGCAGGUUCUCAAAGAGCCUCAUCUACCAGUAGUCCUAUUAAUGCCGAAUUAAAUACGUGCUGCUUUUUCUAAGAUACCACUACUGUGGGUGAUAAUAAUGGUUUUUAAAAUACUAUAAAGCCUCACAACAGAAUUAGGUCACGACUGAUAAAUUAUACUAGAUAAUCCUACCAACCUAGGAUGAUUUUUAGACUGUUAAGUAUCUGUAAAGUUAAAUAAAAAAGAAAGGAAAAACAGGAGUUCCCAUCGUGCACAGUGGAAACAAAUCUGACUAUUCGGCCUUGCCGUGAGCUGUGGUGUAGGUCGCAGACGCGGCUCGGAUCUGACAUUGCUGUGGCUGUGGUGUAGGCGGCAGCUGUAGCUCCAAUUGGACCCCUAGCCUGGAAAACUCCAUAUGCCGUGGGUGCGGCUCUAAAAAAAAAAAAAGAAGAGAAAGAGAAAAAAGAAAAAGAAAGGUAACCAAACAAACAACCACCAUUAUGUUAAGUCUACAACCCACAUGAAAUAGCUCAUGGUUUAUCACCUCAUACAGUGUAAGUUAAAAUUUAUGUUGGUAAAAUCCACUUUAAAAUUUGUAUCCCAAGUUGGUAAUGUGUAUUCUGGAGACAUCAGGGCAAUUUUAUCAUUGAACUUCAUAGAGCAAAGUGUUCUGAUACUAGAAUAAUGGCUAUUAUAUGCUGGACAUGUAGAGGCUGGACUAGCAGAGGAGUGAGCUGAGGUAGGUUGGCAGCAUACUAGCGUAGGGUCAGCAAGCCAUGGCCACGGGCCAGAUCUGUCUGCUGCUUGUUUCCAUAUGGCCCACAACCUAGGAAUGGGUUUUCCUUGUUUUAAUGGUUAAAAAAUAAAUCAACACAAGAGU